CUCGCCCUAUUCAGUGUAACUGCUGUGGUAGUGGGUUUGGUCGCUCGCAUUUAAAUUGGAAGGGUAAUGGUGGACCGCACUUCUCCCUUAGUAGGACGUUGCGACCUGUCAAAUAAUAUCCUAAGUAUAUGGCUAAUUUGUCUGUUUUUAGGCAAUACCGCGAGGUAUUUCCUUUAACAGUUUUAGCCGUUUAUAUAUACUGGAUAUAAUUGACAGUAACGAAUCAUGGUGUUGAGCCACUUGAAAUUGUAUAUUUAUAUGUAUAAUGGAAAGUGUCCUUGUGGCUGUUUGCAAGUGGGUUGGUUAAUUAGUUUUAGUCGGAUUUUGGUCCGUCUAGCUAUUCCGCCUACUGUUGGUAAACUGUUCCUUGGACAGUGCUUACAACACCGGUCGGCAGCGAUUCAGGUUCAGGCUCUUAUCCGACCCGUCUUGAAACACGGACCAAGGAGUUUAGCGUGUACGCAAGUCAUUGGGUGUAUAAAACCCAAAGGCGC
RNAcentral lists this ribosomal RNA (494 nucleotides) under Meccus longipennis. RNAcentral's name for it is "partial large subunit ribosomal RNA". Lineage: Eukaryota; Metazoa; Arthropoda; Insecta; Hemiptera; Reduviidae. The record is from RNAcentral.